Molecule: non-coding RNA, 29 nt
Filed under: Mus musculus (house mouse)
Lineage: Eukaryota; Metazoa; Chordata; Mammalia; Rodentia; Muridae
Source: RNAcentral
UAGCAUUACAUCAGACCAUUUACCUGGCU